RNAcentral lists this ribosomal RNA (253 nucleotides) under uncultured bacterium. Its description in RNAcentral is "partial 16S ribosomal RNA". It matches the Rfam family "Bacterial small subunit ribosomal RNA", at positions 524 to 776 of the family's 1533-position model. The record is from RNAcentral.
UACGUAGGGGGCAAGCGUUGUCCGGAAUCAUUGGGCGUAAAGCGCGCGUAGGCGGCCCUGUAAGUCCGUUGUGAAAGUCAAAGGCUCAACCUUUGAAAGCCGAUGGAUACUGCAGGGCUCGAGUUCGGAAGAGGCGAGUGGAAUUCCUGGUGUAGCGGUGGAAUGCGCAGAUAUCAGGAGGAACACCAAUAGCGAAGGCAGCUCGCUGGGACGAUACUGACGCUAAGGCGCGAAAGCGUGGGGAGCGAACAGG